This 165-nucleotide ribosomal RNA is filed under the name Detarium macrocarpum. RNAcentral's name for it is "5.8S ribosomal RNA". It matches the Rfam family "5.8S ribosomal RNA". From Rfam's summary of the family: 5.8S ribosomal RNA (5.8S rRNA) is a component of the large subunit of the eukaryotic ribosome. It is transcribed by RNA polymerase I as part of the 45S precursor that also contains 18S and 28S rRNA. The record is from RNAcentral. Lineage: Eukaryota; Viridiplantae; Streptophyta; Magnoliopsida; Fabales; Fabaceae.
AACGACUCUCGGCAACGGAUAUCUCGGCUCUCGCAUCGAUGAAGAACGUAGCGAAAUGCGAUACUUGGUGUGAAUUGCAGAAUCCCGCGAACCAUCGAGUCUUUGAACGCAAGUUGCGCCCGAGGCCAUCAGGCCGAGGGCACGUCUGGCUGGGUGUCACGCAAC